RNAcentral lists this long non-coding RNA (1207 nucleotides) under Homo sapiens (human). Its description in RNAcentral is "HSALNT0000829". The record is from RNAcentral. Lineage: Eukaryota; Metazoa; Chordata; Mammalia; Primates; Hominidae.
UGUGAAUCGCACCCCUGGAACUGUGCAGGGCCCACCUGUGUGGCCACACGCAGUGACCCUGAGCAAAGGAGUGACCACAGAAGUGCAUGGCAAAGCAGAAAGGUGUGACGUCUUGGAGGACGCGGGAGGAAAGCACGCCCAGCGGACAGGAGCCAUCACGCGGCUGCGGGCUGCUGCUGAGAACCUGGCGUGGGCCACCGUCGUCAGCAGCGUGGAGGUAACUGACGACCUUGGCCAAGAAGUUGGGUGGCAGCGUGGAGGUCAUGCUCAGAGGAGCCGAGGAGCAUGGACACCGUCUUCUCCUUCCAGCAGGCACAGGUAUGGAAGGAGACUGAGGCUGGUCUUGGAUGGACACUUGUUAUUGCAGUCAGAGUCCAUCUGGAUAAUCCUGGAUAAAUCUCAUCUGGAGAUCCUUCACCAGAUCACAUCGGCAAUGACCUGUUCCCCAAAUAAGGCCCUGUGCACAGGUUCUGGGGUGCUAGGAGUGAGCCACCAUGCCUGGCCCAGUUUUUAAUGCUUGGACAUCUCCAAAAUCAGGACAUAUCUUGUAAUUGAAGACGUCUCACCAUAGCGGCCAGCCGUGCAACCACUGGGCCUGUCUGUGCCUGAACAACACACUGGCCUGCCUUUGCCUGAACAAGACAGCCUUAGUCUCAAAGCUUGCAGAUGGGUGUGGCCUGGUAGAAAAUUCUCAAGACAACGGCGGAGCACGCUUGCCCCUAGGAGACCAAGUGGCCGGAAUGUUGAGAAUCAGCCUUUCGCAGAAAUCCCCUAAGCGGGAGGCAGCAGGCUGACUCCAUCAGCCCCAGGCAGGCUUCUGGGCCCUGCAGCUAUGGCUCUUCAUCCUUUUACAUGUUCUUCGAGAAUCAGCUGCACCCUGGAUGCUUCUGACAGCUCAGAGGACAUCAGCAUGAGGACAAGCACAGGGCUUGAUGGCUCGGAGGGAAAUGGAGUUGGAAGAUUUGGACUUAAUGUGCACACAUUUUAGAAAUAUCUUAACAAAUUUUAUUUUGCUGAUAUCUUUCUUUUUUGUGUGUGCCAAAGUGAUGGCCAGUACAAAUCCAUGUCUAAUUAAGUCCAGAAGAGCUCCUUCAAUAAGCGUAAGAUGAAAGUUAUGAGUGAUAAGAAAGCGUCAUGUCAGUUUAAUUGGCAGCAUUUUCUCUUUCUUAGUGGUUCAUAAAAUAAGGCAGUGCUUUGCUAUCGACGG